This 592-nucleotide ribosomal RNA is filed under the name Elainella ringii HNBGU 005. Its description in RNAcentral is "bacterial SSU rRNA". It matches the Rfam family "Bacterial small subunit ribosomal RNA", at positions 167 to 790 of the family's 1533-position model. Lineage: Bacteria; Bacillati; Cyanobacteriota; Cyanophyceae; Oculatellales; Oculatellaceae. The record is from RNAcentral.
UACCCGAUGUGCCGAAAGGUGAAAGGAUUAAUUGCCUGAGGAUGAGCUCGCGUCUGAUUAGCUAGUUGGAGGGGUAAAAGCCCACCAAGGCGACGAUCAGUAGCUGGUUUGAGAGGAUGAUCAGCCCCACUGGGGCUGAGACACGGCCCAGACUCCUUCGGGAGGCAGCAGUGGGGAAUUUUUCGCAAUGGGGGAAAGCCUGACGGAGCAAGACCGCGUGAGGGAAGACGGCCUACUGGUUGUAAACCUCUUUUGAUAGGGAAGAACACAAUGACGGUACCUAUCGAAUCAGCCUCGGCUAACUCCGUGCCAGCAGCCGCGGUAAUACGGAGGAGGCAAGCUUUAUCCGGAAUUAUUGGGCGUAAAGCGUCCGUAGGUGGAUUUUCAAGUCAUUUGUUAAAGGGUGGAGCUUAACUCCAUAAAGGCAAUUGAAACUGAAUGUCUAGAGGGCGAUAGGGGCAAGGGGAAUUCCCAGUGUACCGGUGAAAUGCGUAAAUAUUGGAAAGAACAUCGGUGGCAAAAGCCCCUUGCUGGGUCUGCACUGACACUGAGGGACAAAAGCUAGGGGAGCAAAGGGGAUUAAAUACCCCUG